AACGAACGCUGGCGGCAGGCUUAACACAUGCAAGUCGAGCGCCCCGCAAGGGGAGCGGCAGACGGGUGAGUAACGCGUGGGAAUCUACCCAUCCCUACGGAAUAGCUCCGGGAAACUGGAAUUAAUACCGUAUACGCCCUACGGGGGAAAGAUUUAUCGGGGAAGGAUUAGCCCGCGUUGGAUUAGGUAGUUGGUGGGGUAAUGGCCUACCAAGCCGACGAUCCAUAGCUGGUUUGAGAGGAUGAUCAGCCACACUGGGACUGAGACACGGCCCAGACUCCUACGGGAGGCAGCAGUGGGGAAUCUUAGACAAUGGGGGCAACCCUGAUCUAGCCAUGCCGCGUGAGUGAUGAAGGCCUUAGGGUUGUAAAGCUCUUUCAGCUGGGAAGAUAAUGACGGUACCAGCAGAAGAAGCCCCGGCUAACUCCGUGCCAGCAGCCGCCGUAA
Molecule: ribosomal RNA, 447 nt
Filed under: uncultured bacterium
Lineage: Bacteria
Description: partial 16S ribosomal RNA
Rfam family: Bacterial small subunit ribosomal RNA
Source: RNAcentral